Molecule: ribosomal RNA, 113 nt
Filed under: Circinella umbellata
Lineage: Eukaryota; Fungi; Mucoromycota; Mucoromycetes; Mucorales; Lichtheimiaceae
Description: 5.8S ribosomal RNA
Rfam family: 5.8S ribosomal RNA (bases 1-77)
About the family: 5.8S ribosomal RNA (5.8S rRNA) is a component of the large subunit of the eukaryotic ribosome.
Source: RNAcentral
CUUUGUGAAUCAUCGAGUUCUUGAACGCACCUUGCACCUAGUGGUUUAUUCUACUAGGUACGGUUGUUUCAGUAUCACAAAACUCAACAACCUAUUCAUUAGUUUGAAUACGU